GAGAGAUGCUGGCGAGGAGCAGUUCCAGGCUGUGCUGCCUAAGAAGCUCAGCGCUCAAGUGCUGAGGGGUCAACCUGGAGUCAGAAUCACUGGCUCUCUGCCUGCUUGUGAGAAGUAAAGCAGAGCUUCUCUUUGUUGUAGAAUCCAACUUUGGCUUUGGGAAAUCUGAACCUCCAUCUUUGAGCUUGUUUUUGACUAGUUGAAAUAAGAAUCCUUCAAAGCCCGUGACUGGACCUCCUUUUGGCUGGAGCAGCUUUAGUUCCUGGGACUGUAAAUUCCAGAAGGAAUUGCUUUGCCCUCUUGUUAGGACAAGUGUCCUGCUGCUUGGAACAAGAGUUUGUUUUUCUUCUACGAGAUGCC
RNAcentral lists this long non-coding RNA (360 nucleotides) under Marmota monax (woodchuck). Lineage: Eukaryota; Metazoa; Chordata; Mammalia; Rodentia; Sciuridae. The record is from RNAcentral.